Molecule: transfer RNA, 73 nt
Filed under: Nitrospira sp.
Lineage: Bacteria; Pseudomonadati; Nitrospirota; Nitrospiria; Nitrospirales; Nitrospiraceae
Also listed under: 2 other names
Description: tRNA-His
Rfam family: tRNA
About the family: Transfer RNA (tRNA) molecules are approximately 80 nucleotides in length. Their secondary structure includes four short double-helical elements and three loops (D, anti-codon, and T loops).
Source: RNAcentral
GGUGACUUGGUGUAGCUGGAUAGCACAACGGAUUGUGAUUCCGCAGGGCCUAGUUCGAGUCUAGGAGUCACCC